UCCGCUACAAGGUUGGAGCUUUCUGAAACCCUUUUUCGUUUUCUUCAAUCAAUCUAUUGAUUGAUGUUAUGGGUUGAAGGAUGGAUGAUGUGCUCUGGGGUUAGAGCCACUGAAUGUGAGGAUUGAGAAGAAAAUGGAACAGAGAUUGUGGUCAACAUCACUCAUCACGUUACUUUCUGGUUCCCCAACAACAUCUUCCAUUUGAUUAUUCAUCAAACUAGACACACACAGGUCGGUGAAAAGGAUCACUACUUUUUGAUUUAUUUUAUUGUUUUGUUUUGAGGUUUUGGUAUAUACCUGCGCCUGCGUCUGUGGUUUCAGAACAGCAGUACCAAUGAUCCUGUUUUCUGUCUCCGCACGCAGCGAUUACUCAGAAAAGUCAUGUGAUACACUGACAUGACUAGAACAGAAUAUGCCUUCAUUUUUCGUCUUUUUAAUUUGACCAUUAACGCAAAUUUAUGCUUUUAUGCUUCUGUGAUUCAUUUAACAUCUUCUUAGGACAUACAAUAGAGUUUCCAAUUAAUAAUUUUCUGGAGGAAUCUACUGUAACAAAGCUCUAGUGCAUGUUUGAUGCUAAUAAUUAUGUUUCAGGAGAACAAAUAUUUUUAAAAGUUCUUACUUAAUCUCUCUUCUCAACAAGUACUACCACAACAAUUUCUUCUUUAUUUCCUCACCAAAAGUGGAAAAAAAAUAGGAAGGUGGUCUUAAAAGUUUUGGACCAUAUAACUAAAAUAAAUAAAAAGUAAUUUGCCCCAAAUUUAUAAAAAGAGAGAAAGAAAUAUGGAAUGUAAUGUUAAAGUAUAACGUAGUGUGUUUGUUAUAUUGGAUAAAAAUCUUGAUAUUUACACAUGUGAUCAAGAAAAAAAGAUCUGUUGAGAAAUAUGAAGUCCUUAAAUGAAUAAUAAUACAUUUUAAAAUAAGUUACAACCACCCAAAUAUGAGGCAAGCUUUAAUGGAUUUAUUUUUUUUCUAAUGUAAAAUUUUCAGCCAAAUGGAUCUUUAAGGAGAAAAGAAAAUCUUCUAUCUCUUGUGUAGAUUCUUGUUUUUUAAUUACAUAUUUUUGAAAUACAUUCAAAGUUAAUGAGGAAGGUGACGCAUGGAAAGUGGAUGUUUGAAUGUAUAAAUUUGCUAUAAUUGUUGAGUGGAAGAAAAGUAAGAGAAGGUAGGUGUUUCUUGUGGCCUCACUCAUGAAGAGGAAAGAGAU
This 1204-nucleotide long non-coding RNA is filed under the name Phaseolus vulgaris (common bean). Its description in RNAcentral is "long non-coding RNA (PVUL_LNC000089)". Lineage: Eukaryota; Viridiplantae; Streptophyta; Magnoliopsida; Fabales; Fabaceae. The record is from RNAcentral.